GGUCUCGUAGCUCAUUUGUCAAGAGCGUUGGCUGUUCUAAGGCCAUCCCCUUACUGGCGUGGGUUCGAAUCCCACAGAGGCCG
RNAcentral lists this transfer RNA (83 nucleotides) under Schistocephalus solidus. It matches the Rfam family "tRNA". Rfam says of the family: Transfer RNA (tRNA) molecules are approximately 80 nucleotides in length. Their secondary structure includes four short double-helical elements and three loops (D, anti-codon, and T loops). The record is from Rfam by way of RNAcentral. Lineage: Eukaryota; Metazoa; Platyhelminthes; Cestoda; Diphyllobothriidea; Diphyllobothriidae.